GGGUUGAACCGUGCCCCCGCUCCAGCACUGCAGCGGUAAAAGCUAAAUUUGAAAUCUGGUACUUUCAGUGCCCGAGUUGUAAUUUGUAGAAUUUGUCUUUGAUUAGGUCCUUGUCUAUGUUCCUUGGAACAGGACGUCAUAGAGGGUGAGAAUCCCGUUUGGCGAGGAUACCUUUUCUCUGUAAGACUUUUUCGAAGAGUCGAGUUGUUUGGGAAUGCAGCUCAAAGUGGGUGGUAAAUUCCAUCUAAAGCUAAAUAUUGGCGAGAGACCGAUAGCGAACAAGUACAGUGAUGGAAAGAUGAAAAGAACUUUGAAAAGAGAGUGAAAAAGUACGUGAAAUUGUUGAAAGGGAAGGGCAUUUGAUCAGACAUGGUGUUUUUUGCAUGCACUCGCCUCUCGUGGGCUUGGGCCUCUCAAAAAUUUCACUGGGCCAACAUCAAUUCUGGCAGCAGGAUAAAUCAUUAAGAAUGUAGCUACUUCGGUAGUGUUAUAGCUUUUUGGAAUACUGUUAGCCGGGAUUGAGGACUGCGCUUCGGCAAGGAUGUUGGCAUAAUGGUUAAAUGCCGCCCGUCUUGCAACACGGACUUUGAUAUGCACA
Molecule: ribosomal RNA, 598 nt
Filed under: Hanseniaspora uvarum
Lineage: Eukaryota; Fungi; Ascomycota; Saccharomycetes; Saccharomycodales; Saccharomycodaceae
Description: eukaryotic LSU rRNA
Rfam family: Eukaryotic large subunit ribosomal RNA
Source: RNAcentral